Molecule: long non-coding RNA, 504 nt
Organism: Spea bombifrons (plains spadefoot toad)
Lineage: Eukaryota; Metazoa; Chordata; Amphibia; Anura; Pelobatidae
Exons: 2
Source: RefSeq, a predicted model, not a curated record
UCGUUGGUGGGGCACACGGGUUGUGUCCGGGGGUUCCCUCCGAUUGCUCCCCGGGUGGUGAGCAGAGCGAGGAGUAACGUCCGCAUCGGCGGACGUUACGGAGCCGUUUAGACGCCGCGCUCUUAUGCCGGCAGAAUUUGGAGCAUGCGCACAGCGGUGGAAUGCACGCCAGAGGGCGCUGCGUUCCACCAAGAGUACUGACACGCUAUUGAGCAUGCGUGAUUCAGUUUCUCUUGUUCAGGGCGCGAAAACUAACUGGUUUUCGCAUAUAUAUAGCUGUGCUGCCCAGUCUGACAGCAGAGGAGCUUGUCAACACUGGGAUUUCCGUGUCACCAGCCCCCCCCACACGGAUUGAGGAGUUGUAAGAUGUCUGGUCCGGUUUCACCAGAUAAGCCGGAUAAAGAGAAAUCCUUUACACCUGCUCCAAAAAAGGCUGUGGUUAAAACCAAACAUUUAUCGUGCACUGAAUGUGCCACUCCGUUGCCGGAUGGUUGUAAGAAGAAA